This 394-nucleotide unclassified non-coding RNA is filed under the name fungal sp. RNAcentral's name for it is "partial internal transcribed spacer region". The stretch from base 1 to 46 matches the Rfam family "Eukaryotic small subunit ribosomal RNA", at positions 1786 to 1831 of the family's 1831-position model. Lineage: Eukaryota; Fungi. The record is from RNAcentral.
AAGUCGUAACAAGGUUUCCGUAGGUGAACCUGCGGAAGGAUCAUUAACACAUCCUUUUAUAACAAUAUCAACAAUGGCGCACCUGAGCCUAUGGGAGCGAAGUCUGGCUUGGCUAUGGUUGAUUUGCCUUUUCGAAGGCAUCUAGCUGAACAGAUAUCUGGCCACUUCUCUCGUAGAAGUGAGUUGGUACUUUGACUUUUGUAGGUAUAACAGUCUCGACCAUGGCUGGACCUUUUUUUUAAACUUGACUAACAGUACUGAUUAUUAGAUGUGGAUUCGAGCUGAUCUUCUUUUUGGAGUGAAGUUCUCUGCAUCGCUCUUUAGAUGGUGGUAUUGAAUUCAAUGCCAUUGUUUAAUUUAAACACAACUCUUAACAGCGGAUAUCUCGGUUCCC